AGUGAACGCUGGCGGUAGGCCUAACACAUGCAAGUCGAACGGCAGCACAGUAAGAGCUUGCUCUUACGGGUGGCGAGUGGCGGACGGGUGAGGAAUACAUCGGAAUCUACUUUUUCGUGGGGGAUAACGUAGGGAAACUUACGCUAAUACCGCAUACGACCUACGGGUGAAAGCAGGGGAUCUUCGGACCUUGCGCGAUUGAAUGAGCCGAUGUCGGAUUAGCUAGUUGGCGGGGUAAAGGCCCACCAAGGCGACGAGCCGUAGCUGGUCUGAGAGGAUGAUCAGCCGCCCUGGAGCUGAGACACGGUCCAGAGUCCUACGGGAGGCAGCAGUGGGGAAUGUUAGGCAGUGGGCGCAAGCCUGGUCCAGCCAUACCGCGUGGGUGAAGGAGGCCUUCGGGUUGUAAAGCCCUUUUGUUGGGAGAGAAAAGCAGCCGGUUGAUACCAAGCUGUUCUGACGGUACCCAAAGAAUAAGCACCGGCUAACUUCGUG
Molecule: ribosomal RNA, 492 nt
Filed under: uncultured bacterium
Lineage: Bacteria
Description: partial 16S ribosomal RNA
Rfam family: Bacterial small subunit ribosomal RNA
Source: RNAcentral